RNAcentral lists this non-coding RNA (29 nucleotides) under Rattus norvegicus (Norway rat). The record is from RNAcentral. Lineage: Eukaryota; Metazoa; Chordata; Mammalia; Rodentia; Muridae.
UAGCUUACACUGCAAGUUUAUACGUGCUU